This 253-nucleotide ribosomal RNA is filed under the name uncultured bacterium. RNAcentral describes it as "partial 16S ribosomal RNA". It matches the Rfam family "Bacterial small subunit ribosomal RNA", at positions 524 to 776 of the family's 1533-position model. The record is from RNAcentral.
UACAGAGGUCUCAAGCGUUGUUCGGAUUCAUUGGGCGUAAAGGGUGCGUAGGCGGCGCGGUAAGUCGGGUGUGAAAUCUCGGAGCUUAACUCCGAAACUGCAUUCGAUACUGCCGUGCUUGAGGACUGGAGAGGAGACUGGAAUUCCUGGUGUAGCAGUGAAAUGCGUAGAUAUCAGGAGGAAUACCGAUGGCGAAGGCAGGUCUCUGGGCUAACACUGACGCUCAUGCACGAAAGCGUGGGGAGCAAACAGG